Molecule: long non-coding RNA, 1808 nt
Organism: Dioscorea cayenensis subsp. rotundata (Guinea yam)
Lineage: Eukaryota; Viridiplantae; Streptophyta; Magnoliopsida; Dioscoreales; Dioscoreaceae
Exons: 2
Source: RefSeq, a predicted model, not a curated record
AACUUCCAUGUUGAGAGUUCGACUUCCUUUUUAACACUUUGUCAAUCUUGUUUUCCUGUUCAUAUAAAACAAAUAAUCAUGGUGAAUGACAGGUUUUUCAUGUAGUAAUGUAAGUUUCCAUGGUUUUUUCAGGGUUCAUUGCGUGAGCCGGAGGAGCUGAUGAGCAACUCGUCCCUUAUGGUGGUCAAAAACACAAGUAUUUUGCUUGGUAGUGGAGGAUCAGAUCUUACUGUAUAAUUUCUUUACUUUUUUGUGGUAGGUGUUCUCAAAUUUUAACCAAGACAUUUUCUGUUCCUUUGCAAUGCCAGGCAACACCCUUCUGUUAAUUGUUCAUACUUUGAAUCAUACUAUUUAUUACUGCUACUUGUUACUGCUGAAGGAAAACCCAUUAUUAUGACUGUUUGAAAAAUUGAUGGUUAUGCUUGAUAGUUGAUAAUGAGUCUAGUACUUUAGAUUGAGGUCAUGUACUUCUGUUCUUACUUCGCAGCUUGUUUCACUCAACUGCUGCCUGCUGGCAGAGGUCAAAUGAGAUGCUGGUUUUAGCCUAUGAUCACAUUACUUGUCUUGAGGUUUAAAUAUAUUAUCUGUUUCUUAUAUUGGUAAAUUGAAUGAAAUUUCUUGAUCAUGAUUUCUUGACUCACUGUUCUGAGGUUUGUUCAUGUCAACUGACGCAACCAAUAUAAACUUGUCUUGAUGUGACAGAGGCGACAUUCCUUCAUAUGCCAAAUGAAAAAAUCUACUAAAGUGUCUUACAAAGCCAUCAUGUUGCAAUAGUUGUCUAUGUAGCGUGGAAGUGGAUGAACUUAUCCGGAACUGUUUUUUUAUUUUCUUGAUUGAACUUGAAAGAUCAGGUGAGCACUCUGUUUAUAAUUGUCCUCAUAAUUGUGCAAGCCUGAGGACAUUCUUCAAGUUUUCGACCUCAUUUUAAAAUAGUUAUAUUGAUUGGCUAUUGCAAUAUAUUCUGCUUAUCUUUGCUGAGAUUUGUGAACUUAGUUCAACUAUUUUGGCUUCCCUACAUGUUGUUUCUUGUUUAAUCAGCUAGGAAGUAGCAGUUGUAUGAGUUGACAUGCAUAUAGUGUUUUAUGCUGUUACAGAUUCAAUUAUUUGAGGACAAGUUAGAUUGAAAGGCACAUGACAACCAAUUUGAGCAUGAAGACUUGUGGCUUCAAAGGGUAUCCACUGUUCUCCUUCACUGUGGUAUGAUCCUAUCUAUAAUCCUUAUCCAGGUCUUCUACCUCAUUUACAUUGAAGAUAAAAGCAAUGUGUUCACUGGAGAGUAAAAUUCUUCUUUUCUGUGACAAUGAAAGCAAAAUGAAAGGGCCUCACUUAGACUUAGCCAUGCAUGUGAUCAAGGAAGGGACCAGCAAAGCAAUGCACUGGUGAUUGCAAACUUGGACAUUGUCUUUUCCUCACUUUUUAACAGCAUUCCAUUUGCAGACAUGCCAAGAUACCAUACAUAUAUAUAUAGCUUUUCCUAUCAUCAAAACAAGAGCUUUGACUGUAUUUGAUCCAUGGUGAGACCGGUUCAUUAUCUAAUGCUCUAUUGCAAUCUUUAGAUGCAUUAUCUAUGUUGAUUCUCAUCUUGAAUUAUGCAUAAACUGGACCCGUGUGUUUUGUCUUUCAAGCAUGGUGUCUUCUUUGUCACCUCAAAUUCCAAUCUGAACUGGAGGUUCAGAUUUGCAGUUAAGAGAGUUUUAGGUGUACUUAUGUCUCUGGUCAUGCUUGGCCUGAGAUGCAGCAAAUAUGUACUUGUUUAUUCUAGGUUGGGGACCCUUCUUCCAAUCUAUUGGAUCACAACCAUUGCACUA